Molecule: small RNA, 141 nt
Filed under: Burkholderia sp.
Lineage: Bacteria; Pseudomonadati; Pseudomonadota; Betaproteobacteria; Burkholderiales; Burkholderiaceae
Also listed under: 1 other name
Description: Manganese sequence
Rfam family: Manganese Mn2+ riboswitch aptamer (yybP-ykoY)
About the family: This RNA was originally discovered in E. coli during a large scale screen and was named SraF. The family was later found to exist upstream of related families of protein genes in many bacteria, including the the yybP and ykoK genes in B. subtilis.
Source: RNAcentral
CCGUCCCACAUUGGGGAGUAGCCGCUCCGCUCGACGUCCCGCACCACGCGGCGCACAUCGUGACGGAGGCGUCCGUCAACAGACUUGGCCGCAUGGCCAUGGCGGACGCAGCCACCGCAAGGCCUGGCGAGACCGAUGGUU